AUGCACAAAGAAACUCAACUCGAGCACGAACUCGGAGCAAUGGCGACGAACAUCGCGGCCGGCGAACCGGCCUAUAUCUUGGCAACCUUUAUUCACGGGUUUGACAGCACUCAAGCCGUACGUCCUCCUGCUUGGGCUCAACCUCCCGCUGUGCGUCCGCACCGGCAUCACCAAGCUUCCCAGCCGCGUCAGCGUCGGCUCCGAGGAUGUCCCGAUUUGGCCACCGGAGAGGAUUGGUUCGAUUGGUUCAAAGGAGUAGGACACAGUUCAUACGAUGCAGCCAGGCCCUGCAUUUGUUGGUGCAUCUUGAUGUCUACCAUUUGA
This 324-nucleotide ribosomal RNA is filed under the name Triticum aestivum (bread wheat). RNAcentral's name for it is "partial small subunit ribosomal RNA". The record is from RNAcentral. Lineage: Eukaryota; Viridiplantae; Streptophyta; Magnoliopsida; Poales; Poaceae.